AUGCGAUAACUUGAAAAAUCACAAGAAUUGAAAUUCAUAAAUUUUGGAUGUUACAUUACCUAUGCAUCGAUUAACAGUUCUACGUUGCGACCAGACUCCAGAACGGCCGCUACAAUGUCUGGAACGUGGACCCUCAAAGGUUCACAUUUUAUCGCUAUGAACGAUAUAUACACAUGUGUAAUUAAGUAAGGAAGUAGAAUUCAAGUAUUUAUAAAAAAAGACUAACAAUGAACUCAAGAGAAAAAUUAAGAAUUUACCUGUACACAUAGCUUUGAGACCGUCCCAUUGCGACAAAGGUAAACAAUUGCGAACUUUACUUCCACGAAGUUGAUAGCCGGUUUCGCAUCUGAAUUGACAACGGGAGUCGAUUGGAUACAUUGUCGUAUCUUCUGUGCUCAAAUGUUGGUCCUCGUCGUUUUGACAGCGCAUUCGUCCGUGUGUAGGAACGCGAAGUGCCGGACAGGUCUUCACUGUUUCAGCAAUCUAUUGUUUACGUAUAUUGCAAUCGAACCAACUACGUUCAAUAGAGAUGUGUAACGAGACUCACGCAAACAUUUCGGUUCGUUCCCGGACCAGUUACCGUCUUUUCCGCAAAGUCGAAUACUAUCACCCGUCAG
This is a long non-coding RNA of Bombus pyrosoma, 617 nucleotides long. RefSeq lists it as uncharacterized. The record is from RefSeq and is a predicted model, not a curated record. The transcript is spliced from 4 exons. Lineage: Eukaryota; Metazoa; Arthropoda; Insecta; Hymenoptera; Apidae.